This 519-nucleotide long non-coding RNA is filed under the name Mytilus galloprovincialis (Mediterranean mussel). The record is from RNAcentral. Lineage: Eukaryota; Metazoa; Mollusca; Bivalvia; Mytilida; Mytilidae.
AAAGGUGUAAUUUAUUACAUUUGUGUUGAAUUUGGAAUAAAAACUACUUUUAGUCUUCAUCUAUUUUGUUGCUUUAUCUGCCAUAUAAUAAAGAAGACACCAAUUGCACGAUUCCGUAGCGUAUUGCACCAUACACAACGUAUUAUGUAAUCGUGGCACAAAUCAGUGGCUCCGUUCUCAAAAUUUCAGUCAACCUCCGUUUUCCCCCCUUUUUCUACGUCUCGUAAUGAUCGAUCAAAUCAUAUUUCCCACACGAAUUGAAUGUAAUAAACACAUUGAGAUAACAAGAAACCUUUUAACUAAUCCUCGUCGUCAGUUUCGCCAUAGAAAUGCUGAAAUAUUUCCAUAUUUACAGCUUCGUUUCCGAUUUCCGCCAUUUGCAUUUGUCAAAAAUAUUUGUUUUUAUUUUCCUUCAAUUUUCCUUCUACUGCAUGAUUUUACAAUAAAAAUUGCCGGGAUUUCAAGCGCAAAUGAGACCUUGCAUGUCCUCGAUUCAUACAAGGAAAAAUUAGAGAGGAC